AACGAACGUUGGCGGCGUGGAUCAGGCAUGCAAAGUCGAACGCGAAAGGGGGGGGCAACUACCCCCGACGUAGGGGUGGCGAACGGGUGAGUAACGCGUGGGAAACCUGCCCUCGAGUUGGGACAACCUCUCAACGAGUGGACUAAUACCGAAUGUGGUCCCCGGGGGACAUCCCCUGGUGACUAAAGGCGGGGACCCGCAAGGGCCUGCCGCUCGGAGGAUGGUCCCGCGUCCCAUUAGCUAGUUGGUAGGGUAACGGCCUACCAAGGCACGAUGGGUAAGCUGGCCUGAGAGGACGACCAGCCACACUGGGACUGAGAUACGG
Molecule: ribosomal RNA, 325 nt
Filed under: uncultured bacterium
Lineage: Bacteria
Description: bacterial SSU rRNA
Rfam family: Bacterial small subunit ribosomal RNA
Source: RNAcentral